UCCCUCCCUCCCUCAUCUUUCUCCUACACCAAACAUUUGAGAUUUGGAUUUGGAAUUAUUCACCAUUUGGGAUUAUCUGUAUUAUUAUUUUUUCUUUCAGAGGCUACAUUCCCAUUGCUUCCUAUUAGGCCUGUUUUCAGCACUGAAUUCGGGCAGGACAUUGAUCUAGCAUCCUAAGUGAAAAUAAGAGAGUGUUCCUUUGGACAUCUGCUUGGUGACCACGUGGUACUCAACUGGCGGUUGGACACAAAGGAGGCUUGGUCAUCAUCUCCGCCUGUUGGGAUGCAAGGCAUGUUGGUCUAACUCUUGGGAAAUGACUUGUCUGGGAGGCCAGCUGACACCAGCAAAUAUAAAGUUGAAGGGAAACAUCAACGGCUACCACCAAGUAAGUGAGUUUACUCUUUUAUCUGCUUAAGUCUCUUUCUCUUAUUUCUGUGUCUUUUUAAUUGCCACACCUC
Molecule: long non-coding RNA, 458 nt
Filed under: Felis catus (domestic cat)
Lineage: Eukaryota; Metazoa; Chordata; Mammalia; Carnivora; Felidae
Description: lncRNA (ENSFCAG00000043683.2)
Source: RNAcentral